Molecule: ribosomal RNA, 442 nt
Filed under: uncultured bacterium
Lineage: Bacteria
Description: partial 16S ribosomal RNA
Rfam family: Bacterial small subunit ribosomal RNA
Source: RNAcentral
CCUACGGGCGGCAGCAGUGGGGAAUAUUGGGCAAUGGGCGCAAGCCUGACCCAGCAACGCCGCGUGAAGGAAGAAGGCUUUCGGGUUGUAAACUUCUUUUAAGAGGGAAGAGCAGAAGACGGUACCUCUUGAAUAAGCCACGGCUAACUACGUGCCAGCAGCCGCGGUAAUACGUAGGUGGCAAGCGUUGUCCGGAUUUACUGGGUGUAAAGGGCGUGUAGCCGGGCUGACAAGUCAGAUGUGAAAUCCAGUGGCUCAACCACGGAACUGCAUUGGAAACUGUCGGUCUGGAGUAUCGGAGAGGCAGGCGGAAUUCCUAGUGUAGCGGUGAAAUGCGUAGAUAUUAGGAGGAACACCAGUGGCGAAGGCGGCCUGCUGGACGACAACUGACGGUGAGGCGCGAAAGCGUGGGGAGCAAACAGGAUUAGAUACCCGUGUAGUC